Molecule: long non-coding RNA, 590 nt
Organism: Molossus molossus (Pallas's mastiff bat)
Lineage: Eukaryota; Metazoa; Chordata; Mammalia; Chiroptera; Molossidae
Exons: 3
Source: RefSeq, a predicted model, not a curated record
CAGAUAAAUAGAAGAAGAAGAAAAAAGACUCAAAGAGGAAUUUUAAAGUCUCUCGUUAAAGCUGAUGUCAAGUUUCCAGCCACCAGGGGCAAGAAUAAACGACCUUUUCUCUCCACGAGGCCCCUGCGGCUGGAGAACCUGGGCUACUUCUCCACUGGCUGCCUUCUGAGAGAGCCCAAGGAACGGAAAGACCUGCGAAGGCCUGGUCCCCGAGGCCACACAGCUGCUCUCCCACUGCAUUUCCCCACGUCCGGCUGACAUAGGUCCCAGAUGGCUCAGCUCCGAGGGGAGGAGAAAUGGAUUCCACUUGUCAGCACAGAAGGGCCUGUGCGGGGGAGGCCCCGAUGGGCCAUCUUUGGAAACAAGUGACCACAGCCCGUUUCAGAAGCCAGUGUGAUAACUGAACACUCAUCUUCUAACACAGGCAAGCAGCUGAGAUGGUGAAGUGGAACCUGAGGCAUCACUGGAACAGAGGGAUGUAACGUUUGACCCUAAUUUAUUGGCUGUCUACAGUCCAUCUCGGGGAGCUGGCCCGUGUGCUCAGGCCGCUCCCAGUGGGACAAGAGAGAGUCGGAUGGAAAGAGAGUUUC